Molecule: ribosomal RNA, 253 nt
Filed under: uncultured bacterium
Lineage: Bacteria
Description: partial 16S ribosomal RNA
Rfam family: Bacterial small subunit ribosomal RNA
Source: RNAcentral
UACGUAGGGGGCAAGCGUUGUCCGGAAUCAUUGGGCGUAAAGCGCGCGUAGGCGGCCCGGUAAGUCCGUUGUAAAAGUCAAAGGCUCAACCUUUGAAAGCCGAUGGAUACUGCCGGGCUAGAAUCCGGAAGAGGCGAGUGGAAUUCCUGGUGUAGCGGUGGAAUGCGCAGAUAUCAGGAGGAACACCAACAGCGAAGGCAGCUCGCUGGGACGGUAUUGACGCUGAGACGCGAAAGCGUGGGGAGCAAACAGG